GCUGGCGGCGGCCUAACACAUGCAAGUCGAGCGCCCCACUUGUGGGGAGCGGCGGACGGGUUAGUAACGCGUGGGAACGUGCCCUUUUCUGCGGAAUAGCCUCUGGAAACGGAGAGUAAUACCGCAUACGCCCUUUUGGGGAAAGAUUUAUCGGAGAAGGAUCGGCCCGCGUUAGAUUAGGUAGUUGGUGGGGUAAUGGCCUACCAAGCCUACGAUCUAUAGCUGGUUUGAGAGGAUGAUCAGCAACACUGGGACUGAGACACGGCCCAGACUCCUACGGGAGGCAGCAGUGGGGAAUCUUAGACAAUGGGGGCAACCCUGAUCUAGCCAUGCCGCGUGAGUGAAGAAGGCCCUAGGGUCGUAAAGCUCUUUCGCCUGUGAUGAUAAUGACAGUAGCAGGUAAAGAAACCCCGGCUAACUCCGUGCCAGCAGCCGCGGUAAUACGGAGGGGGUUAGCGUUGUUCGGAAUUACUGGGCGUAAAGCGCACGUAGGCGGACUAAUCAGUCAGGGGUGAAAUCCCGGGGCUCAACCCCGGAACUGCCUUUGAUACUGUUAGUCUUGAGUUCGAGAGA
RNAcentral lists this ribosomal RNA (573 nucleotides) under uncultured bacterium. RNAcentral describes it as "bacterial SSU rRNA". It matches the Rfam family "Bacterial small subunit ribosomal RNA", at positions 35 to 655 of the family's 1533-position model. The record is from RNAcentral.